RNAcentral lists this unclassified non-coding RNA (314 nucleotides) under plant metagenome. RNAcentral's name for it is "partial contains 5.8S ribosomal RNA, internal transcribed spacer 2, and large subunit ribosomal RNA". The stretch from base 1 to 105 matches the Rfam family "5.8S ribosomal RNA", at positions 50 to 154 of the family's 154-position model. The record is from RNAcentral.
GAAACGCGAUAGUUAAUGUGAAUUGCAGAAUUCAGUGAAUCAUCGAGUCUUUGAACGCACAUUGCGCCCAUAGGUAUUCCUUUGGGCAUGUCUUUUUGAGCGUCAUUACAACCCUCAGCUAACCGCUGGUUUUGAACCUGAACGGGUGACACCGCGCCGGUUUUAAAGUUGUAAGCUCUGCUGGCCGCUCUGCCCAACCAGAACAUAGUAAGCACUACUUGUCCGGGUGAAGCUGAACGGUACGGCCUGAACAAAACCUACCCACUCUCAAGGUUUGACCUCAGAUCAGACAAGGAUACCCGCUGAACUUAAGC